Long non-coding RNA from Drosophila willistoni, 780 nucleotides. RefSeq lists it as uncharacterized. NCBI's taxonomy places the organism in Eukaryota, Metazoa, Arthropoda, Insecta, Diptera, Drosophilidae. The record is from RefSeq and is a predicted model, not a curated record. The transcript is spliced from 5 exons.
AACAAAGAUGGAUAGUCUACUAUUCAAGCUUCCUAGGAGACCCAGCAACCAGAAAUCCAGCAACUCAGCAACCAGCAAUCCAGCAACUCAGCAAUCCAACAGAUAAAAUUUUCAUGUCUACCCCAAAAAUCAUGUCUCAAGAGAUAAUAUUUAUAUAACUGGUCUUAUUAAUAAAGAAGUCAAUAUCGGAUCCAUAAAAGUCCUAGGGAGCUGUGGAUGCUCUACACAUCAAUGAAACGGAAACUCAGGAAAUAUUCGGAUCUAGUUAUAUGGAAAAUAAGGAGUGAAAAAGAUAAAAAGGACUAGCAAAGGAUAAACAAAGACAGGCAUAGGUCACCACAAACCUCUAAUAAAUGUCCACCGGCUAAACCUAAGUUAAGCUCAUGAUCUUAGAACUAACAGGCCUUGACAUCCAAAUGUCAUCUAAAAAUCUCAACAUCCUAGAGAUUCGAUUUAUUAUUUUCAGUCGAACUUUUUAACUUACACAGACAGCAUCUUUUAGACUGCUAAAAAAAAAUAAUAAAUACUUUCAUCCUUUUGUUAACUUUUUUCCAAAUUCGGCUUGACCAUGUGCUACGGCUGCAACUCCUGCUGUGGACCCUGUGGAUCUUGCUGUGGGCCCUGCUAUGGAUUCUGUUGUGGUCCUUGCAACACCCGCUGUUGCUCAAUGGUUGGCAGCACUCUGUCGAAAAUGACUGGCCUGUGGACAGAGUUUCCCUAUUGUUAACAAAUCGAUGACGUAAAAGAAAAAUAAAAAAAAAAGAUUUAAAAACGAGAAAA